UACCAUCAACAUCGAAACUUGCCUNUUCCCC
This 31-nucleotide non-coding RNA is filed under the name Mus musculus (house mouse). Lineage: Eukaryota; Metazoa; Chordata; Mammalia; Rodentia; Muridae. The record is from RNAcentral.